AGUGGGCGAUCCGAGGAUCCGGAAUCGAGCUGAAGGAACCGCUCGGGCCGGCAGAAACCACACCCGGCCCGCCACGCGUAUGGGGCUGCGCCUGGGCGCGUGGACUACAGAUCCCAGCAGCCCCGCGCGGCGCUCAGGAAGUGCAGGCGUGGUCGCAGACUGGGCAUAUAUAAGCCCGGUGCCGGGGCCCGUGCGUCCUUUCUCCUGUCCCUGGCGCUGGUGGUGUGUGGACGUGGAACCACGAGGCCGGUGCCCGUAGCCGCCUUAGCUCGCUUCUAUAGGCCCGCACUCGUCCGGGCUACCUCUAGAGACUGCGGGAUGUAGAGUGCCGGGCCGGGCCUCUUGGCCUGGGCUGCCGAGGGCCUGAAGGCUACGACGGCCGCCUGCGCAGUGAGACGGGUCGGCACCCGCCGGGCGGUGUCCUCUUCCCGUCUCCGCUGGCGCAGCCGUACCCUGGCGCCUGACCCGUGGAUGAGGCGAGCGGGCGGCCGGGUGCUGGAAACGAGUUGGUCAUGCCAGAUCAAGAUGCUAUGAAGAUGGUGGCGAGUGAGGGUCAUGGUGAUGAAAUGCGACAACUUCAGGACUUGGUCUUUGUAACCAGAAAGUUGUCUUCAUCUUCGAUAAUUGGCUACAGAGUUGGGAAAACACCGUGGGAAAGAAGAUGCACACAAAAAGGUCACCAGUUAUUAAAGAAGAAAAUGGUAGCUUUGUAAGCAGAUUUUUUUCUUUGCAAAUGCUGUAAUAUGUAGCUAUCCAUAAGCAAUAAAAGGCUUUGGAAAUAUUUGUCCCUCA
This 792-nucleotide long non-coding RNA is filed under the name Urocitellus parryii (Arctic ground squirrel). RNAcentral describes it as "lncRNA (ENSUPAG00010020731.1)". Lineage: Eukaryota; Metazoa; Chordata; Mammalia; Rodentia; Sciuridae. The record is from RNAcentral.